GUAGUCAUCGCUGAGGGGGGCCGAGGGUGAGCGGGCGGCUCUGGCCGGCCCCAGCCUCAGCUUGCCGGAAUCCAGAACGGGAGUCUCCCUGAGCUUGUCCCAUCCAACCCCUUAACCCGGAGGAGAGCUCUGACAGAGGGGCCGCGUGCGGCCUGGUCAGACUUGAAAGCCCUUUGGAGCACUUCCUCCAGGAAGACCCCCUGCCUGGGAGUGCCCCAGGACGCUGAGCUAGAGCGGGGUGGGUGUUGGCAGACAGGUUAAAUGAUAUGAUGUGUCUGCAUCUGAAGGCAGAACCUGGCCUAGGCUGAGAUCAGGAAGAGCCUGUAGAGGUGGUAAACAGCAUGUGCAAAGGUCCCAGGGCAGUGUAGAUGGUUAAACAGAAUCUGCAGUGAACAUGGGCCAAACACACUUCAGGGUUACUGAAAUCUGGGGCAAGGCCCUGGGUGAAUCCCAGCACAACGUAUGAACUUCCCACAAAAAAAACUUUCCUGCCAGGCAUGGUGGUACGGCCUCUAACCUCAAUCCUUAGGAGGACUGAGUGCUCCAUAGCAAGGUUGUCUCCAAAUGAACCUGCACCUGGUUGUUCCUCUUUGUAGUGUUUUCUGCCAUCUCCCAGAGCAGCCAUGUGGGGCUGCCUUUUCCACCCGGCUUUGGAUUGGUCUGAGCUUAAAAGGAAGGAGGAAGGAUCCCCAUCACCCAGGCUGGUUUGGAACUGACCCACCUCAGCACCCCGAGGGCUGAGGUCACAGAUGUGUGGGGUCCUGUCCCCCAGGCCCAGCUUCUCAUUUUUGAGCUGGUGCUGGACUUGGACGCUGGGCCUUAGGCACUCUGCUUUUUUGCCAGUGGUUUACCACUUUUGAGCCAUACCACCCUCCUGGCAUUUAGCAGGUCAAUGGCUAUGAGUCUGGACUUCUCUGAACCAGCCAGGUCUGAGUAGCCUGGAUGGCAGGCUGGAUCCCUGGUGGGGGGGGGGGGGGGGGGGGAUUUUCUUUGGGCCUGGGGAACUGAGAACAGGGCUGUCCGUGCUCCAGACCACAGGGUGGCGCUCGAGCUCCGCUCACUGCCAGAGCCCACCUAGCAGGAAGCCACACAGAGCCCCGGUGUGCUGGCGGGGACCCACCUGUGGCGAGGGGCCGGGAAGUCAACUUCAAGGGUGCCCAAGGGGACGUAGGGCCGGGCAGCCUCCCGCCUCAGGGUCUGCAUGUCUGCCUCUGCAUCCCAAGGCUCCGGGAAGGGAGGUACUAGGGCCACUGUUGACAGGGACAAAGGCCACCCACUCCGGUGUCCUGGCAACGGGCGGGUGGUCAGCCCUGGGCCCCGCCCUGCCUUUGUCCUCCCCCUCCCCAGCGGUGGGGAGCCACUCCAAUGGCUAGGGGGCAUUUGGGGCCCCUCGGCACCCUCCAGCUCUCCCGCCCUCGCCCCUCCCUGACCUAACACGGCGCUCUCAGCAGUAAUGGGGAGCACUGCGCCCACCGCCGGAGGAGCACGCAGGGCACCGCACCCCCACGUGGGAACAUCACACACCCAGGCACAGGAACAGGCUCGAGACAUACAAAGGGCCACACCGGGCUCUGUGGAUGAGAAACGUCCAGAACUGGACCUGCACAGGAAGUGGACGUGAGGGGUGGGACGGACAGGGAGGGGUCUCGGCGGCAGCUCCGGGGAUGAGCUUCCUUUUGGUGAUCAGGGGAAGUUCUGAAGUUCGGAUUGUUAUAAAACUGAAUAUACUAA
This is a long non-coding RNA of Dipodomys spectabilis (banner-tailed kangaroo rat), 1731 nucleotides long. RefSeq lists it as uncharacterized. The transcript has 2 exons. The record is from RefSeq and is a predicted model, not a curated record. NCBI's taxonomy places the organism in Eukaryota, Metazoa, Chordata, Mammalia, Rodentia, Heteromyidae.